CAGCCGCGGUAAUACGAAGGGUGCAAGCGUUAAUCGGAAUUACUGGGCGUAAAGCGCGCGUAGGUGGUUCAUUAAGUUGGAUGUGAAAGCCCUGGGCUCAACCUGGGAACUGCAUCCAAAACUGGUGAGCUAGAGUACGGUAGAGGGUAGUGGAAUUUCCUGUGUAGCGGUGAAAUGCGUAGAUAUAGGAAGGAACACCAGUGGCGAAGGCGACUACCUGGACUGAUACUGACACUGAGGUGCGAAAGCGUGGGGAGCAAACAGGAUUAGAUACCCGCGUAGUCCCUGUCUCUUAUACACA
This 301-nucleotide ribosomal RNA is filed under the name uncultured bacterium. Its description in RNAcentral is "partial 16S ribosomal RNA". It matches the Rfam family "Bacterial small subunit ribosomal RNA", at positions 512 to 810 of the family's 1533-position model. The record is from RNAcentral.